GCAACGCGACACUAUUGGAGGGGAGCUCAGAGCAGCAGCCGGGAGCAGCCGGGAGCAGCUUGAGCUCCGAACAGUCUUUGCCGACCUGCCCACGAUGUGUCCUGCCAGGUGUGAGCAUCCCAAGUCACGACGUUAGACAAAGAAAAGACACACGAAUGCUGCACUAUGCGCAGAGCCGAGCCGACCAACGUGACGCAGACGUGUCUGAAGGAAAUAUGUCUCCGUGCUGUCAGGAAACACUUCUCUGCUCUGGACUUCCGGGCUGUCCUCGAUCUGCCGGCACCUCUCAUAAGGGAUCUCCUUCCACAUUUGACUGUGUGUCAGCUGGAUGAGCUUCAGCCUGAGCUAAACCAGAGAGGGAUAUCAACUCACUCUGGUUGGGCUGGAAUCCUGCAGGACAUGUAUGGACCUAACUAUGAAGUAGACUUGCACACAGAAGAAAGGGCCAAACAUGAAGUCAUGAGUCGACUUUUCACGCUAGUCUUUUACGGCUUCACAAACCACUUCGUCGAAAGAAACAUCACAAAUUUGAGCACAUCAUCCUUCCUGUGGGCUGCGGCUAAAUGUAUCAAACAUUUUUUACUCAAUGCAAACUUUCACAAGCCCCUUCAAAGGUUAACUGCUGAGCAGCAGCCUCUUCUGAACCUCCUAGAGAAGCAUAUCAGGAGCGUUGCUGUGGUGCAGUCCAUUGAUGUAUCAAAGAGGAAGACACAGACGUCAUUGUACAUUCUCCAUCGGCUGCUGGACCACGGAAUGGCUAAAAAACUAGUCGUAGAUGUGAGGUGUCCGAUCGCACUGGCCUGGCUCCUACAUGGAAGGGGAUCUCAGGAUGCAACUCCUGAGCUGAAGAGCCUCAUGCUCUGCAAGAGGGAAAGCUCUAUAUCACAAGCCGCUGCAGCCAGAGCAGACAUCGCUGGUUGCAGCGCAGGUCGUGAGACCAGAGCUUCAGAAGAUGAGGACGAUCCAGUCAUCCCAUUCAAACGCUCCAUGUUGGAUUCAGCAUCACAGGAGGAGGAAUCUGGAAACUGGAAACCAGGUCCAGAUUUCACUGUGGACCCUCAGGUUCUCUGUCGAACCUUCUCUCCGUGUGAUGAUCACUCGGCAGGGGCCUGUACAUGGGGACAGAUUGACUGUCUCGAGAUCAGGGAGUGUCGGUCCGUCACCCUCAGAGUGCUGAACUCCGCCCUGCCCACUUUUUUCUGUCUUAGGUCUCUUACUCUUCACAGCUCUGUGACCCUCAGGGAGUCUGAUGUGUUGGGCUUAGCCAGAGCCCUGAAGCAGCUGUCUGAGAGCUCCCGCAGCUGCCUCACCUUUCUCAACAUUGGUGUGCUGCCUAACGCCAAGCUCACGGAGAUGCUGCUGGACGCAUGCCCCAAGGUGACGUCCCUGCAUGUGGAGAUCCAGACCAUGAUGUGGGGAACGCUCGUCCAAGCAUAUCAUCCCAGGACUGCAGAGUCAGACAAAGAGCUGCCCCUGGAGAAGCUGACAGUCAAAGUAGGUGAGCUGCAGACAGAUGUACACUUCAUCACAUCUGUGCUGAGACGCUCUCCACAUCUCACCUCACUUCACAUAGCUGGGAUCAGGUUACCAACGGGCUCCUCUCUGAGCCAGCUGCUCACCACCAUCUCAGAGUCCAAUACCUGCCUGAGGAGUCUCAACCUGGAAGACAUGAAGCUGUCUGAUUGUCUCCCUGAGAUCCAUAAUCUACUGAGAGACUGCAAGCUGGAAGAGCUGCGCUGUAAUGAUUGCCGGCUUCAUGAGUGCAGUGACACGGAGCAUUGUUUGCAGCAGCUGGUGGUUGCUCUGAAGACGGUGCCUUCUCUCCACACGCUGAGCCUGGCUCGGAAUCGACUGGCAUGUGGGGGGGGCGGCUGUGGCUCUGGACGUAGAGCCGUUUGUCCACAAACCCGAAGCAAAGAAUGUGUGUGUGCUGGCCGAGCUGUUCUCAGGACCCUCCCCCAGCACAGUGAAAUGGCUCGACAUCAGCUCCAACUUCAUUCGGCCUGCUGAGCUGCUGGAGUUGGCUCACAGACUGAGUUCACAUCGCCCCCCACAGCGACUGGUCCUCGACCUCAGGAGGAACGCUGCACUGAACAAGCUCCGCCCGCUCUGUGCGCUGCUGGUGGGAGUGUGGAAGUCGUCUGACACAAUGGUCGACCACAUCAGCAACAUGUGAACAGGAGGCUGUAAACCGUCAGCACUGUGUAUGCAGGUGGUCUGUUUUAAGUUUUCAGUUCAGGAAAAGCCUCAAUUGCAGCAUGAGCUGCACCAAGCUGCAUGAGUGUCUAGCUAGUACAGUUAUGUAAGAACAUAAGUGUUGUUCCUUCAUAAUUGGUUGUGACAUAUUCCUUAUUUUUGAUGUAUAAUUAUUGAAUGUAUGUGUAAUGUGUGCAUGGAGUGAAAAGAACAGCAUGUUGUGUUAGUUUGACAUUUGAAUCUUUUAUUAAACCAGGGUCCCUUACCCUUCAGAGACUCUU
Scophthalmus maximus (turbot) is the source of this 2477-nucleotide RNA transcript. RefSeq lists it as uncharacterized. NCBI's taxonomy places the organism in Eukaryota, Metazoa, Chordata, Actinopteri, Pleuronectiformes, Scophthalmidae. The record is from RefSeq and is a predicted model, not a curated record. The transcript is spliced from 12 exons.